This is a long non-coding RNA of Capsicum annuum, 800 nucleotides long. RefSeq lists it as uncharacterized. The transcript is spliced from 2 exons. Lineage: Eukaryota; Viridiplantae; Streptophyta; Magnoliopsida; Solanales; Solanaceae. The record is from RefSeq and is a predicted model, not a curated record.
UGUAUUUUAAUUUGCCUUCAUUGUCUUUUGAUUUUUCCAUUUAUUAUACCAUGGUUGAAAUCUCAAUUUUUCCAUAAUUUUCUUCAAAGUUUUCAAUUUCAAAGGAAGAUGAUUCCUACUGUUAUUCUUAAUCUAUUUAUUUUUGUCAUAUUUCAUUCAUUCUUCACAAUAUGAAUUUUUAUCAUCUCAUUUGGGUCUUUCAAUACCAGGAUGGGUGGUCCGAGGAUGUUUCAUCUUUGAAAAAUUACGCGAAGAUGGUUUGUCCUACCAGUAAAUGUAGUCUUUUCCAUUUCUUUUUUGUCCCUUAGAACCGAUAACCCCUUUUUCCCUCAUUUAUUUUCUUUGCCUUGUGGUUAGGAUGUUUUGAUCUUUGGAGUAUUAAGUAAUAGAAACAUAGAAGACAUCAAGAAAGAGUAUCUAAUAGUUGUUUUCUUUUUCAAUAGAAUGUAAUGAGCUUUUAGUUCAAUGCAUUUCUCCAUUCCCUUUUACGCAAACUACUUUAACUGAUAAUUGGGGUUUACUUGAUUUUUGAAGGUAUGUCAAAAUCCCUUCCUAUUAUGUGGUAUUUGGGAUAUCAAAGGUUGGUUACUAAGCUAGGUAUUGGAUCUCCAAUAUUUUAGAGAUGAUAAAUAAAGCAGGCUUUGAAUUUUGAAUGUCCCUAAUACAAUUAUAUGUCACUAUUCAUUGUGGAAAAAAAAUCCCUGUGGCAAUGUUUACAUAGAACAACACUUGAAGAAUGUAUGUGCUACUCGACUUCUUUAUUGUAAUAUAUUGAUACCCUGAGUCAUUACGAAUAUAAA